UUUCCGUAGGUGAACCUGCGGAAGGAUCAUUAAAGAGAUCAUGCCCUCACGGGUAGACCUCCCACCCUUUGUUUACAAUACCUUUGUUGCUUUGGCGGGCCCGUUUGGCCCCGCGCUGAACAACCGGCCCCGGCUGGUCAGUGCCCGCCAGAGAACCGAAAACUCUGAAUUAAAUGUCGUCUGAGUACUAUGUAAUGGUUAAAACUUUCAACAACGGAUCUCUUGGUUCUG
This 231-nucleotide unclassified non-coding RNA is filed under the name plant metagenome. Its description in RNAcentral is "partial contains small subunit ribosomal RNA, internal transcribed spacer 1, and 5.8S ribosomal RNA". The record is from RNAcentral.